UACGUAGGGUGCGAGCGUUGUCCGGAAUUACUGGGCGUAAAGAGUUCGUAGGCGGUUUGUCGCGUCGUUCGUGAAAACUUGGGGCUUAACUCCAAGCGUGCGGGCGAUACGGGCAGACUUGAGUACUACAGGGGAGACUGGAAUUCCUGGUGUAGCGGUGAAAUGCGCAGAUAUCAGGAGGAACACCGGUGGCGAAGGCGGCUCUCUAGUACGGUACUGACGCUGAGACGCGAAAGCGUGGGGAGCGAACAGG
Molecule: ribosomal RNA, 253 nt
Filed under: uncultured bacterium
Lineage: Bacteria
Description: partial 16S ribosomal RNA
Rfam family: Bacterial small subunit ribosomal RNA
Source: RNAcentral